AUGGUGCUCUGGAUCACCAGGAACUGAACAUUAAUGCUGAAAACAAGGUGAAGGUCAGUAUGGCAGGCGCAAAGUGAGUGCCUGUGGCCACUGUUGCAGCCUCUAAGCCCGGGCUGAGGCCAAGAACAGCUCGUGGGGACAUCGGUAACAGAGUCAGUGAAGAGCCACAGGCCAAACUGCCCCUGAAAAAGGAAGCAAAAACUUUAGCUGCUGGAAAAGUUAUUGCUAAAAAACUACCAAAACCUCUGGAAAAGACACCUGUACCUGCGCUGAAGCCCCAGCUGGAGCCGGAUCUGGAGCCAGAGCCAGAACCCGAGCCUGUUAAAGAACAGAAACUUCCCCCUGAGCCUAUUUUGGUUGAUACUCCCUCUCCAAGCCCCAUGGAAACACCUGGCUGUGCCCCUGCAGGAGAAUAUGUGUGUCAGGCUUUCUCUGAUGUAAUUCUUACAGUGAGUGAUGUGGAUGCAGAAGAUGGAGAGGAUCCAAACCUUUGUAGUGAAGAUGUAAAAGAUAUCUAUGCUUAUCUGAGACAACUUGAGGAAGAGCAAGCAGUCAGACCAAAAUACCUACUGGGUCAUGAAGUGACUGGAAACAUGAGAGCCAUCCUAAUUGACUGGCUAGUGCAGGUUCAAAUGAAAUUCAGGUUACUCCAGGAGAUCAUGUACAUGACUGUUUCCAUUAUUGAUCGGUUCAUGCAGGAUAAUUGUGUGCCCGAGAAGAUGCUGCAGCUGGUUGGUGUCACUGCCAUGUUUAUUGCAAGCAAAUACGAGGAAAUGUACCCUCCAGAAAUUGGUGACUUUGCCUUUGUGACUGACAACACUUACACUAAGUACCAAAUCAGACAGAUGGAAAUGAAGAUUCUAAGAGCUUUAAAUUUUAGUCUGGGUCGCCCUCUACCCCUGCGUUCCCUUCGGAGAGCAUCUAAGAUUGGAGAGGUUGAUGUUGAGCUACAUACUUUGGCCAAGUAUCUGAUGGAACUAACUAUGUUGAACUACCAUAUGGUGCACUUUCCUCCUUCUCAGGUUGCAGCGGGAGCUUUUUGCUUAGCACUGAAAAUUCUUAAUAAUGGUGAAUGGACACCAACUCUACAGCAUUACCUGUCAUACACUGAAGAAUCCCUUCUUGUUGUUAUGCAACACCUGGCUAAGAAUAUAGUCAUGGUGAAUCGUGGGCUUACAAAGCACAUGACUAUCAAGAACAAGUAUGCCGCGUCUAAGCACACUAAGAUCAGCACUCUAGCACAGCUGAAUUCUGCACUAGUUCAAGAUUUAGCCAAGGCUGUGGCAAAGGUGUAA
Molecule: non-coding RNA, 1295 nt
Organism: Delphinapterus leucas (beluga whale)
Lineage: Eukaryota; Metazoa; Chordata; Mammalia; Artiodactyla; Monodontidae
Source: RefSeq, a predicted model, not a curated record